AGUGAACGCUGGCGGCAGGCCUAACACAUGCAAGUCGAACGGCAGCACAGGAGAGCUUGCUCUCUGGGUGGCGAGUGGCGGACGGGUGAGGAAUAUAUCGGAAUCUACCCUUUCGUGGGGGAUAACGUAGGGAAACUUACGCUAAUACCGCAUACGAACUGAGGUUGAAAGCGGCGGACCGCAAGGCGUCGCGCGGAUGGAUGAGCCGAUAUCCGAUUAGCUAGUUGGCGGGGUAAAGGCCCACCAAGGCGACGAUCGGUAGCUGGUCUGAGGGGAUGAUCAGCCACACUGGAACUGAGACACGGUCCAGACUCCUACGGGAGGCAGCAGUGGGGAAUAUUGGACAAUGGGCGCAAGCCUGAUCCAGCCAUGCCGCGUGUGUGAAGAAGGCCUUCGGGUUGUAAAGCACUUUUGUUGGGAAAGAAAAGCGGUCGGUUAAUACCCGGUCGUUCUGACGGUACCCAAAGAGUAAGCACCGGCUAACUUCGUGCCAGCCGCCGCGGUAA
RNAcentral lists this ribosomal RNA (506 nucleotides) under uncultured bacterium. Its description in RNAcentral is "partial 16S ribosomal RNA". It matches the Rfam family "Bacterial small subunit ribosomal RNA", at positions 29 to 523 of the family's 1533-position model. The record is from RNAcentral.